Molecule: long non-coding RNA, 396 nt
Organism: Talpa occidentalis (Iberian mole)
Lineage: Eukaryota; Metazoa; Chordata; Mammalia; Eulipotyphla; Talpidae
Exons: 3
Source: RefSeq, a predicted model, not a curated record
AUUUUAGAUAAGGGCUAAUGAAGUGACCCCCAAGUUGGAAGGGGAUCCCCAAGGCCCAGGCAUGGCCUCCAGGACUCCUGACACCCAGCUUUGGGGUCCUGGUAUCCAGGCAGCUGCAAGAAAGUAACAGGACUUCCCCAUCUGAGACAUGUGAUCCGUGACUGUAGCUGCUGAUAUAGAAUCAAUGAAGGAAGGCACAUAACUCAGGAUGGGAACAACAUACAUACGGAGAGGGGUGCUUGAAGGAAAACCUGCUCUUCUGGAAUACUGAAUGUGAAAUUAAGCCCAUCCCUGAAAACCCCAUUUGAAGAAAACAAAUUAAGGAGGGAAGAUAAUUUUUAAAGGCAUUAUUAAAAUCUAACAAUUCUACACUUUGCUUAAGAAAUAUACAAUAAA